Molecule: microRNA precursor, 205 nt
Organism: Oryza sativa Indica Group (long-grained rice)
Lineage: Eukaryota; Viridiplantae; Streptophyta; Magnoliopsida; Poales; Poaceae
Rfam family: MIR812 microRNA precursor family
Source: Rfam
AAAAAGACAAACCCUGGGUUUCCGUGUCCAGCGUUUGACUGUCCGUCUUAUAUGAAUUUAUCCAGCGUUUUAUAAUUAGUAUUUUCAUUGUUGUUAGAUGAUAAAAUAUGAUUAAUAUUUUAUGCGUGACUUAUCUUUUAUUUUUUUUUUUCAAAUAAGAUGGACGGUCAAACGUUGGACACGGAAACCCAGGGUUUGUCUUUUU